AUUACUGUAGGUACUGUACUACUGUAGGUACUGUAGGUACUGUACUACUGUAGGUACUGUAGGUACUGUAUUACUGUAGGUACUGUAGGUACUGUAGGUACUGUAUUACUGUAGGUACUGUAGGUACUGUAUUACUGUAUUACUGUAGGUACUGUAGGUACUGUACUACUGUAGGUACUGUAUUACUGUAGGUACUGUACUACUGUAGGUACUGUAGGUACUGUAGGUACUGUAUUACUGUAGGUACUGUAGGUACUGUAUUACUGUACUACUGUAGGUACUGUAUUACUGUACUACUGUAGGUACUGUAUUACUGUAUUACUGUAGGUACUGUAGGUACUGUGUUACUGUAGGUACUGUAGGUACUGUAUUACUGUAGGUACUGUAUUACUGUAGGUACUGUAUUACUGUAGGUACUGUAGAUACUGUAUUACUGUAGGUACUGUAGGUACUGUAUUACUGUAUUACUGUAGAUACUGUAUUACUGUAGGUACUGUAUUACUGUAGGUACUGUAUUACUGUAGGUACUGUAGAUACUGUAUUACUGUAGGUACUGUAGGUACUGUAUUACUGUAGGUACUGUAGGUACUGUAUUACUGUAGGUACUGUAGGUACUGUAGGUACUGUGUUACUGUAGGUACUGUAGGUACUGUAUUACUGUAGGUACUGUACUACUGUAGGUACUGUAUUACUGUAGGUACUGUAGGUACUGUAUUACUGUAGGUACUGUAGGUACUGUAGGUACUGUAUUACUGUAUUACUGUAGGUACUGUAUUACUGUAGGUACUGUAUUACUGUAGGUACUGUAGGUACUGUAUUACUGUAGGUACUGUAGUUACUGUACUACUGUAGGUACUGUAUUACUGUAGGUACUGUAGGUACUGUAUUACUGUAGGUACUGUAGGUACUGUAGGUACUGUAUUACUGUAUUACUGUAGGUACUGUAUUACUGUAGGUACUGUAUUACUGUAGGUACUGUAGGUACUGUAUUACUGUAGGUACUGUAUUACUGUAGGUACUGUAGAUACUGUAUUACUGUAGGUACUGUAGGUACUGUAUUACUGUAGGUACUGUAUUACUGUAGGUACUGUAGAUACUGUAUUACUGUAGGUACUGUAGGUACUGUAUUACUGUAGGUACUGUAUUACUGUAGGUACUGUAGAUACUGUAUUACUGUAGGUACUGUAGGUACUGUAUUACUGUAGGUACUGUAGGUACUGUAUUACUGUAGGUACUGUAUUACUGUAGGUACUGUAUUACUGUAGGUACUGUAGAUA
Molecule: long non-coding RNA, 1277 nt
Organism: Dicentrarchus labrax (European seabass)
Lineage: Eukaryota; Metazoa; Chordata; Actinopteri; Moronidae
Exons: 9
Source: RefSeq, a predicted model, not a curated record